This 312-nucleotide unclassified non-coding RNA is filed under the name plant metagenome. Its description in RNAcentral is "partial contains 5.8S ribosomal RNA, internal transcribed spacer 2, and large subunit ribosomal RNA". The record is from RNAcentral.
CCCCGCCGGCAGCCUCGAAUUCGCGAAGCAGCUCGGCCGCGCGAUGCGCGAGCAGGGCAUGACACCGACCGCGCACCACGCGGAAAAGAUCCCGGGCGAAGGGCGCGAUUUUGUCGUGCCGGAGUUCGGUGUUUAUCGGUUCAACGACCUGCUCGUGCUGAAGCGCGCGCGGAUGGCGGCGGCGUUGUUGGAAUGCGGUGUGAUCGUGCACCCGCAAGAGGAAUAGGAGCUGAACACUGCCGAGCGCCAGCGGCAGAUCGUGGCUGCGGUGCGCAUGGCUGUUCUCAACGUCAGUGCCUCGCUCCGCGAACG